CGAUUGGCGAUUUGGGCAUACCCAUCACCGCGAGAAUCGGGAGCCGUGGGAGUACGGGCCACCGUCGUCGCCUCGCCUCCAUUUGUUGCUCUGGGCAGUCAGUUGGUCGUCGCGGAAGCUUGGGUAUGCGUCAUUGGAGCGUCGGGGCACUACAGCCACGACAAUUGCUUGCCAGAGUCUUUGCUUUGACCUCGAUCCGCUGUGCGUCGCGGGUAGCUUCGUUCGGUGUCCAUCUCCGACGAACCAGUGACCGAGGACAUAGGUGUUCAGCAGGUGGAAAUUGCUGAGCAGGAGCUCGU
Zea mays is the source of this 299-nucleotide long non-coding RNA. RefSeq lists it as uncharacterized. The transcript has 2 exons. NCBI's taxonomy places the organism in Eukaryota, Viridiplantae, Streptophyta, Magnoliopsida, Poales, Poaceae. The record is from RefSeq and is marked validated.